This 705-nucleotide long non-coding RNA is filed under the name Salmo salar (Atlantic salmon). Its description in RNAcentral is "lncRNA (ENSSSAG00000087895.1)". Lineage: Eukaryota; Metazoa; Chordata; Actinopteri; Salmoniformes; Salmonidae. The record is from RNAcentral.
GUCUUCAUUAAAUAGAAGAGGCAAAUCUUCUUGAAGAAGGUGUAAAGAAAACUGAUAUGGAAACAGAAACACAGACAGAAUUUUUCCUAAAAGGGUGAUAUAAUGAUGCAGGGAGCAAACAUGGGAUGAUUUUGUGAAAUGCGGUAGAUUUGCAAGCAUCUCUGUUUUUAUCCCUCUCUGUACCCUGGUGCAGUGGAACAAUUCUUGUUCAGCCUCAGUGCAGCAUGAUUCUGGAUAGCUGAACUCCUGUAAAUAGUGAAAGGACAUGUAGAUAUCUAUGGGACGUUGGUCAGACUGAAAAUGAUUUAUCCAAUGUGCAGAGGUAUGUGAUAACACUAGGCUUGUUGUCAUAAUUUUUUGGGGGGGAGGAGGAGUAUUUCAUCUUUAAUAUUUCAUAUAGAUUGUAGCUUCUAUCAAUGUAAUUAUCUGCGUCAUUAUAUUCAUGUUACUUACUAAUUUCAUACUAGUGUUCUUUUGUGUUUUCCUACUUAUUGUUAUUCAAAAGGAACUCGUACAUCUAUCUUUGUUGCAGGUGCAUGGUAACAGUUGGAUAGGAUGAGAAAAAAGAAGAAACCCACACACUGCUCUUGCUAGUAUCACUGCUCUUUAUUAAGCUUUACGUAUCAGAGCUUUACAAAAAUACAUAAACUAAAUGAUUUUAACUUAACAGUGGUCAUCUAUUCAGAUGACCUCUUUACCUUUACC